RNAcentral lists this ribosomal RNA (141 nucleotides) under Aeromonas salmonicida. RNAcentral describes it as "partial 16S ribosomal RNA". The stretch from base 1 to 103 matches the Rfam family "Bacterial small subunit ribosomal RNA", at positions 1431 to 1533 of the family's 1533-position model. Lineage: Bacteria; Pseudomonadati; Pseudomonadota; Gammaproteobacteria; Aeromonadales; Aeromonadaceae. The record is from RNAcentral.
UAGCUUAACCUUCGGGAGGGCGUUUACCACGGUGUGAUUCAUGACUGGGGUGAAGUCGUAACAAGGUAACCCUAGGGGAACCUGGGGUUGGAUCACCUCCUUACCUUAAGAUGUCGUGUUGUUGAGUGUUCACACAGAUUG